GGAUGAUUAGCUCAGUUGGGAGAGCAUCGCCACAAAAUGGCGCUUGUCGCCGGUUCGAGUCCGGCAUCAGCCU
RNAcentral lists this transfer RNA (73 nucleotides) under Bacteriophage sp. Its description in RNAcentral is "tRNA-Phe". It matches the Rfam family "tRNA". From Rfam's summary of the family: Transfer RNA (tRNA) molecules are approximately 80 nucleotides in length. Their secondary structure includes four short double-helical elements and three loops (D, anti-codon, and T loops). The record is from RNAcentral.